RNAcentral lists this non-coding RNA (20 nucleotides) under Arabidopsis thaliana (thale cress). Lineage: Eukaryota; Viridiplantae; Streptophyta; Magnoliopsida; Brassicales; Brassicaceae. The record is from RNAcentral.
CGGGCUUUUGAUACGCUUGU